AGGGAUUUUCAGUAGGUGUAAUAUUAAUUAAAUUUGAAUUUUCCCGCCGUAUCACAACAGUGACGUCACUGCCACUCAAAACUGCUGGAGUUGUGAAGCUACUAUUUACCAAAUUUUAAUGAUCGCUUUAUGACUUCAACAGUAAUUGUCAACAUCAAAACAUUUGAAUUUAAUUAAUCUUUUUCUGUGGUACUUUGGCGAAUCUUCUUCGAAUCUUAUUUGCAGCUAUUUUACUCAACGACUCGUAUAGUGCUCUGCCUUCACUUUUACAUUGCGUUUCACCUUCGUGCGGCAACCGGCAUCUAAAGAGAAAACAUUGUCCUCAAUGUCGUAGAGAUUAGAAAACAAAAAUUAUUAAUUAUUUAAGAGAGUCAAAAGUGUGUAAACGAAUAUUCAUAGUGAAGAAGCAAAAAUUGAACUAUUCAAGGAUUACUGUUAUUUCCUAAAGAAGAGGAGGUUUUCUACAUUUUCGAUGCGUAUACCAGCAGUAAAGACGUCCGCCAAUGGUAUUACAAUGGUCAAUCUUGAAAACAAUUCUAUAAAGACAUAGGAAAGAAAUUCAGUUUGCAGUUGUUUCCUGAAGAAGAAGAGGUUUCCGACAUUUUCGAUGCAAACACGAGAAGAAUAGACGUCCGUCAAUUGUAGUACAAAAAUUGAAAUAAAAAUUCUCCAUGAAUUAUUAAAAAGAAUAAUUAUAAUUAUUGGCGAAUUCAAAUUAAAAUCGGUUGCGCGCCACUUCCAGUACAGUAAUGUCAGCCAAUUAACGCCUGGCGUUCUGUUUUCCACCACCUCCAGCGGAGAGCGUCACUUCAAGAAUAUUCUCAGCCUAUCAACGCCCGGCGUUCUGCGUUCCACCACCUCCAGCGUCGCGCGCAACUCCAGCGACACUUGUCGAGUCUUCAUCCAUUUAGUCCGCCAUCAGCCACGUGCCAGCAUCGUCCGGAAUUUUUGGUGAGUUUUUCUCAUUUUCUUUACCCAGAUACCAUCCCCUUUUCCAGGAAGUUAACCAUGUAAAGUUCCUUACUUAACUCUGUUAACUUCCAGUUAAAUUGCAUGAAUUUCUAUGUAUCCCACUUUUUUCUUUCCUUUGUUAAUUUUCUAGUAUUUAUCAAUUAUUUACUAGAAAAAUGCAAAGGAUUAUUUGUAAAAUAUUAAAGUUUAUGUUUUAAAGUUUGUAGUUUGAAUUUUUUUUUAAAUUAUGUAAUUAAAGUGCUUUAAAUAAUUACUAGUGAAUUUCCCCGAAAAUAAAACUAAAUUUUUGGUAAGUGGGACAUUCUACUUGAAGCGGACAACCUCGAUCCUGGUUUCUUUUUCAAUAUUAUUAUUUUUAAAUAUUAUUAAUUUAUUAAAAAUUUAGGAAUAGAAGGAAAAUGGGUAAAUAUUUUUAAUUAAAUUUUAUUUCUUUGGUGGCAUUAAAUUUAAUACAAAAUAUAAAUCUUUUUUUCCUCCAUCUUGUAAAUUUUUAAUACAUUAAUAAUAUUUAAAAAUAAUAAUAUUAAAAAGAAGCAAGAGGUGGUUAUCCUCUUCAUCUAGAAAGCCCCAAAUGUCAUUUAAUUAGUUUUAAUAUAUAAUAUUAUAUAAUAUAUAAUUUUUAAUUAUAUAUAAAAUAUUUUUACAUUUUUUUAAUUAAUAUUUUUGUAUGAAUAUUAUUAUUUACAAAAUUUUUAAAACUUCAUAUAAAUAUUGAUCAUAAAAAGAAAUUUUUUAAAAAAAUAAUUUCUUUUUAUUAUCAAUAUUAUUAAUUACUACUAUUUUUGUAUUAUUACAAUGAAAUACAUAAUUGCAUGUAUGUGACCUGUGAAGUAAAAAGGAGGAAAAUGGCGAAUAAAUUAAGUUUUUACUGAUUGGUUAUUCUGAUAGAGAAACAUUUUUUCUAUCAAAAUAACCAAUAAAUAAAAAAUUAAAUUAUUCACCAUUAUCCCCGCUUUUUACUUUGAAGGUCACAUAUAUGCAAUUAUAUACUUCAUAGUAAUAAUAAAAAAAAAUGUAAUAAUGAAUAAUACAAAAAUAUUAACUAAAUAAAUAAUGUAUAAAAUAUUAAAUAUAUAAAUAAAUAUUAUUAGAAAGUUAGUUUUAUUUUCGGGAAAAUUGAAAUGUAAAUAAACAUUUAAAGUACUCUAAGAACAUAAUUUUAAAGAAAAAUUUAAAUCUAUAGGCAAUUUUUAAAACAUAAUACUUUAAUUUUUUAGAAAUAAUCCUCUGUACUUUUCAAGUAAAUGUACAUUGAUAAGUAGUAGAAGUAAACAAAAGAAAGGAAAAAAAGAGUGGGAUAUAUAGACAUUCAUGAAAGUUAACUGGAAAAAGACAGAGUUAUAACCGGGACUGACCAUGGUUAACCGAAAGAAAAGGGAUCGGUAGAAGGGAAAGAAAGGGAAGAACUCCACCAAGAAAAAGGACAGCAUGUGCGUGGCUGAAAAUGAAGGACAACAGAGACUAGUAGACAGCAUUACAGAAAGGAAAAACAACAUAUAUAUUGAAUAAAAAUUUUAUUAAAUUAUUGAAAACAUA
Leptopilina boulardi is the source of this 2508-nucleotide RNA transcript. It is a transcript of the gene named PI-PLC X domain-containing protein 3-like, with no coding region annotated. The transcript is spliced from 5 exons. The record is from RefSeq and is a predicted model, not a curated record. NCBI's taxonomy places the organism in Eukaryota, Metazoa, Arthropoda, Insecta, Hymenoptera, Figitidae.